AUGUUGUGGCCCAGUGGUAGAGCGCUUGCCUCACAUGCCUCACAUGUGUGAGUUACUGGGUUCAAUUCUCAGCACUGCAUA
RNAcentral lists this transfer RNA (81 nucleotides) under Marmota monax (woodchuck). RNAcentral describes it as "tRNA.Val". The record is from RNAcentral. Lineage: Eukaryota; Metazoa; Chordata; Mammalia; Rodentia; Sciuridae.